AAUAGGCCCAACACCACACGUCGUCUGUGUUUUUUUUUAGCAAUGUCAGCUGUUUGGGAAAACCUAAGAUUAGAGAUUGCUUCCUCCUGUUGCUGGUCUUGAACUCUGGCCCAGAUCACCGUCCAGGAGAGUAUAAUUCUCAGUUCCUUUGGCCUUGCAGCCUUGUCACCAAACGAAGUCUUGAACGAGCAACAUGAAGUUGGGUGGCUUCUUCCUCCUCGCAGUCCUCCUCACCCUCAGCACAGAGCUCCACGCUGUCGGCACCUGUGUGUACCAGUGCAGAGAAGACUGGCACUUUGGGAAGGGAAAACAGGCUGUCACCACAUCUGUUCCUCCAUCCCUCAAGUAGUGCCGCCAUGAAGUUUCUUUUCCUGGCUGCUCUACUCCUGGAACCCAGUAGCAUGGGAUAGGAUCUAAAAUAAUGUGGAUGUAAGAGUUCGAUUCUGGCUCUUGUUUGGGGACUUAUGGGUGACUGCUUCCAAAAUUAUCCUUCUUCUGAAUAAAAUGA
This is a long non-coding RNA of Lemur catta (Ring-tailed lemur), 508 nucleotides long. RefSeq lists it as uncharacterized. The transcript is spliced from 3 exons. The record is from RefSeq and is a predicted model, not a curated record. Lineage: Eukaryota; Metazoa; Chordata; Mammalia; Primates; Lemuridae.